CCCUUAGACGUUCUGGGCCGCACGCGCGCUACACUGACCAGUGCAACAAGCAUCCGUCCUUGGCCGACAGGCCCGGGCAAUCUUUGAACGCUGGUCGUGAUGGGGAUAGACUUUUGCAAUUUUUGGUCUUCAACGAGGAAUUCCUAGUAAACGCAAGUCAUCAACUUGCAUUGAUUACGUCCCUGCCCUUUGUACACACCGCCCGUCGCACCUACCGAUUGAAUGGUCCGGUAAAGCCUCCGGAUUGGCGCGCACCUCGGUGCCGCCGAGAAGUUGGCUAAACCUUACCAUUUAGAGGAAGGUGAAGUCGUAACA
RNAcentral lists this ribosomal RNA (315 nucleotides) under uncultured eukaryote. RNAcentral describes it as "partial 18S ribosomal RNA". It matches the Rfam family "Eukaryotic small subunit ribosomal RNA", at positions 1470 to 1796 of the family's 1831-position model. The record is from RNAcentral.